Mirounga angustirostris (Northern elephant seal) is the source of this 794-nucleotide long non-coding RNA. RefSeq lists it as uncharacterized. The record is from RefSeq and is a predicted model, not a curated record. The transcript is spliced from 4 exons. NCBI's taxonomy places the organism in Eukaryota, Metazoa, Chordata, Mammalia, Carnivora, Phocidae.
CAGCUCUGUACCCCGCCCCCCCACCUCUCCCCACACUACUUUAUUCGUUUUAAAAAUUUUUUGAAUAUUUUAUUUUUAAGUAACCUCUCUACCCAAUGUGGGACUCGAACCUACAACCCCGAGUUCAAGAGACGCACGAGCCACUGACUGAGCCAGCCAGGCACCACCACUGCUUUAUUUUUGCCUCAAGACCAAGUAUUCUGAUGAAUCGCAGCAGCCUCUGGAUCCAUUUCCUGCCAAAUGGUGACAGACCAACAAGAAAAUCAUGAUUAACAGCCCACAAGCCCUUCAUUGCAAAUAAACAGGACUGCCUCAGGCAAUCAGAUGUCCCACGUUCACCUCCAGAAUUUGAUAUGGACAAAAACGAUGUCCUUGAAGCAUAUGGACUGUGUCUUCUCAAACUUGUAUGAGCACAGUGUCUGGGUUAGAUACCGUCGCCGACAAUGAGAGCACAGCACGCAGGGCCUCCGUCUGCGGCGGGGUUUGAAGAGCUGAAUAGAAAGUCUCAGGAUCUAAACCUUAACCUUCCUGGCCGAUGCUGAAAGGAGAGCUUGUUUAUGAAACAUGUUCUUGCAAAACUAUUUGGCGGAUUGUGACAAAGAUGAAUGACCAGAUACUAUAAUUUAAAUUUGAAAAUAAGGUAAAUGGAAGUCCUUGUUUGUGUGUGAAUGUAUAUGUGUUCUCUUUGACAAGGGUCAAUGCCUUAUUGAAGAGUAGGAAGGCCAAGUAAGUCAUUCCUCUCUCCCUGUCCCAUUUUUCUACCCCUGACUGGAAGGAAUGUGCAGUUUUUGAUA